This 451-nucleotide ribosomal RNA is filed under the name uncultured archaeon. RNAcentral describes it as "bacterial SSU rRNA". It matches the Rfam family "Archaeal small subunit ribosomal RNA", at positions 339 to 792 of the family's 1478-position model. The record is from RNAcentral.
UCGCGAAAACUCCGCAAUGCACGAAAGUGUGACGGGGCUACCCCGAGUGCCAUCCGCUGAGGAUGGCUUUUCCUUGGUGUAACUAGCCGGGGGAAUAAGGAGAGGGCAAGACUGGUGUCAGCCGCCGCGGUAAUACCAGCUCUCCGAGUGGUAGGGAUGUUUAUUGGGCUUAAAGCGUCCGUAGCCGGCUUAGCAAGUCUCCUGUUAAAUUCAGCGACCUAAUCGUUGAGCCGCGGGAGAUACUACUAGGCUAGGAGGCGGGAGAGGUCGACGGUACUUCUGGGGUAGGGGUGAAAUCCUAUAAUCCCGGGAGGACCACCAGUGGCGAAGGCUGUCGACUAGAACGCGCUCGACGGUGAGGGACGAAAGCUGGGGGAGCAAACCGGAUUAGAUACCCGGGUAGUCCCAGCUGUAAACGAUGCGGGCUAGGUGUUGGGGUGGCUACGUGCCA